Cheilinus undulatus (humphead wrasse) is the source of this 813-nucleotide long non-coding RNA. RefSeq lists it as uncharacterized. The transcript is spliced from 3 exons. NCBI's taxonomy places the organism in Eukaryota, Metazoa, Chordata, Actinopteri, Labriformes, Labridae. The record is from RefSeq and is a predicted model, not a curated record.
AUUAUAGUUGUCCUGACUUUAUAUGAGAAGUUGCAAACGUUCAAAUGUUUGUCUGAAGAAACAAGAAAAAAUAGAAAUUGUGAUAUUCUUUAUUGAAUCCUUACUGCUAUAACUGAAGAGACUAGCUAGCUUGUUUUACAGUGUAGCUAGCGAUAUUAGCAGGUUAGCUCCCCGGUUGGCUAACUGUAAUGUGAGAGAAGACAUGCUAACAACUCAACAAUAGUACAAACAAUAGUCACCCAAAACAUACUUUAACCAGGAUACGGAGCCCUUCCCCCCUAUGGGGAAAGAAGAAUGAGCUCUAUCAUCAAAUGUUGGGACCUGGCUGCUGGGCUGUGCUCUCACUCAGAAGCAAGAGUGAAAGUAACGACUUACUGGCAGUGACAAGGCAUCCUCACUGCUGAGUUACUCUUCCUCCCAAAUGUAUUAGAUUGAUUAAGUUCAUGGCAUACUCAACAUUGUUGCAAGGACCUAUCUGUCUGUGUCAUCCCCGCCCCUCAGUGUGAGGAGAGUGGAGAAGUGCGAGUGCUCAGAGAGUUCAAAAAUAAUUUUAGACUACAAAAAUAUUUGCAUGCAACCAUGCACUCCUUCAUAUCUGUGCCUCUUUCCCUGUCUCUGAUAUCAUAAUACUAAAUCCAUUUUUAGCAUUGUGGCUGGUUAUGAUGUAAAAUAUAAGUCUCACAUUAACAAAUAAGCCAAAUAGAGUGACAAAAACAAAACUUCUGAAACACAAAACAACAAAAUAAUCACUAACUGAGGCAAGGUGAUGAGUGAGACAGAAUAUGUACAGUGUGUUACUGUCUGUUUCCUUGG